This is a long non-coding RNA of Setaria italica (foxtail millet), 1625 nucleotides long. RefSeq lists it as uncharacterized. Lineage: Eukaryota; Viridiplantae; Streptophyta; Magnoliopsida; Poales; Poaceae. The transcript has 9 exons. The record is from RefSeq and is a predicted model, not a curated record.
UGGAAGAACUUUGGGUCAAGGAAUCAUUACAUUUGGUGAACCUGUGCAGCUGAAGCUUCUCCUGAAAUUAUUGGAUUGCAACAGUCAAGCAACCAGAAACUGCAACAUCAAUCCAUUCCUAGUUCAACAAGAUGGAUGAGGAGAGUAAAAUACAACAGAGAAUUCUCAAAAGAGUAUCUGAUGGUAGUGGAUCUCUUAUCGGAGUUCUCAUUGCUGCUUCAGCUUUGAUUGGACUCGGUGGAAUGUCUGCACAUAUGGUUUUCUGGGAUGUGUUCGUAUAUAGUGUGCUAUACCUCAAAUGGAUUGUUGUUUCACUGGUACUGGCCAUAUAGAAAGAUUGAGCAGAACAUAUACAUAUAUUGGAUUUGAUGGAUUACCAUUUCACUUACUGCUAGUACAUCAUGUGAUUUUAUUACUAUGGGUUGCUUUUAUUAUCAUGGAUGCUAUUUCAUCGGUACUAGCCAUAUGGAUUUCAAAUUUAGUUUGCUAGUUUUAUAUAUACUAGCAAAAUGAAAAACAUAAUCAAAAGAGGUAUCAACAGGAAUGCCUACUCCUAUUUUCCUAUAUUUCAAUACUCUUGCCCUUCAUUAACUAUGGAAAGAAUGUAUAAUCUUUUAGCAUCGGCCUUUGGACAUUCACACAAAGGAGGUUGGCAAACAAUGGUUUAGCAGCAGCCCUGUUAUUGCCAUCUGCCCCAGUAUUGCAGAUGUCUCAUUUCGGUAGAGCGAGGAGAUUCGCACUCUGGUUUUUGGCUUUAUCAUUACAUACCAUAAAUGCCCUACUGUAUGUAUCAAAUAUGGAAAAAGAUCAGUGGUGCUUGUUAAUGAAGAGAACAGGUUUGGGGAUCACACUGAUUUUUUGCUUUGGGCUUGUAAUGCUACUACAUCAAAGUUUUCCUAUCACAAAGGAUGUUUGUAUUUGUGGUGGCAUUUUCGGUUUCCUUUAUGUGGUAGCUGCAACAGUAACACUAUACAAUUUUCCCACUUGGUCUGACAUUGUGCUGGGGCUGAUUCAUACUCUUAUCACUCUCUUUAUGAGCAUUUUACGCUUCAGCUGCCAGGCAGGCUUUCUAAAGUUUGAGAAAUUCCCCUUGCUGGUUGCUGUUCUGGGAUCUAUUGGUGGUUGUCUACUACCAUUAGCUCCACUGCCCAAAUUAUCUGAAAUUUCUGCAUAUAAGGUUGCUACUCUCAUCGGUGGACUAUCCAGAUUGCUCGAUGUAGUAUUCAUAAUGGGUUUAGUAUCACGGGAUAAGGUCAACCAUUUUUUGGUUAGAUUACAAGAGUUCCUUAUUUGAGAUUUCUCCAUUAUGUUGUUUGGUGCUAAUGGUCUGAGAGAUGAUAAGGAAUUAAGAGUUUGCAUGUGGAUUUGACAUGGUGGUUUAGAGAUGGUGUGAAGGAGGAGCUUGAAUCGCCCUGGAAGGACUGUGUGGACAAAGAGUUUUCUGGUGCCAACGGUCUGAAAGAUAAUGAGGAAAGAACGGUAUAUGUUGUGCAUAGUUCACUUCUACUGCCAGCGGCUCGGGUCCAUGCUUUGGGCAUUGGCGUAUACUUGCCCUUUUUUAGUCUUGUUAUGGUUUGGGUAGAUUGACUCAUAGUUUUGCAACAACCAAAAGUUAAUAUGCUGCA